GGCGGCACGCGCCGGGGUCGGGAGUGGAACCGCUGAGGGCUGCGAUGAGCCCGCCCGCGUGUGGGCGCGCCGGGUGGGAGAGGAGCGCCCCCCAGCGGGCGCGGGCGCGAGGGCAGCCGGCGCGCGGGGCGAGCCAGCGCAGGGUCGCGGCGGCCGGGUUGCUGGGCGCGUGCGCGCGCGGCGGGGCGGGGCCUGCGCGGCUCCGGGUAGGCGCACGUGGUGCCCAGGAGCCGCUGGCCUGGCAUUCGCCGCGGGGACUCGGUGCGGAGUCGGGGCGCCAAGCGUCUCCGCUCCCCGUGCCCCAGCUGGCGGCCGCGACGGCGGAGCUUGACCUCUCACUCUCUCCUGCCUCCCGCAGCGACUGCCCCGCCGGCCGCGGGGGUCAGAUCCAGCGGUCCUUCAUUCAUUUCUUCAUUUGUUCACUUAUUCAGGAGAGAUCAUUGAACCGGUACGGAAUACCGGGUACUGAGCUGGGUGCUGAGGACGCGGGGCUGAGCAAAAGCAGCCGAGGCUAGCCUUCGUGCCCCUUAAAAUCCAGCGUGCGGGGCGGUAACAAGUACUGCUUUUCUAUUUUGCACUUAAAAUUUACAUUUUGUAUUCAUACUUUUUAUUUACUGUGCACCCUUAAGGCGUGCUUUAUUCGCACGUACCUGCACAGCCUUUCCUUGAGUGUAGACACCAGAUCCUGAGAUUUAUGGGCAAUUUUUUGAGAAUAAUUUUUACCCUAAGUGGAUUUUCGCCCCAAGUAUGGACUUGGAACUACACACACCUAGUCAAAAACGUGAAAGUCAAAAUGCAGCUUCGCCAAGUUUCGGGGAGAGUGGAGAGCUGCCGAGAUUGGGAGAGGAAGGGCGCGCUCCAGGCGUUCCAGCCCGGGUGCGGGAGAUACCAGCCCUGAAGGGUGAACGCGGGCGGGUAACCUGGCAGCGGGAGGGCGGGCGGACCUGUCAGUCAAGUCCAAAGCAGAAGCGCGGCUCCGGACCCCAGGCUGAGGCUGGCUAGAACGCUGCCCACCGACUCUAGGCGCUCGGGUCCCCGCCGGGCGACCUUGAACCUGGCGUGCUCGGUGAAGCCAGCACAGCCUCGGGAGCUGUAGAGACGCGGGACACAGGCAGAGCGUUCCUGCCCUCGGCCUAGGGGCUCGCCUCUGGCCCGGCUGGCCAUUCCCAGAGCACGCUGUCCCCCAGCUUUGGGAUCGCCAGCAGCCACGUCUAUGCUUCUAGAUCUCUUUUUUUUUUUUUUUUUUUUUGAGAUUUCAUUGAUAGCUGUUUAAGGAAUUAUAUGGAGGAAAUCUCUCCUCCGACCCCUGCCUCGGUUGUGAGCCCUGCCGGGUCGCUGGAUGGGCCAGGAGGAAAGGAAGGGGCGGGCAAGAAACAGCAAUUUUACUUUGAAUUUAAAUGACACAAAAAUAUUUUUUUCAACUCACAUUUUUCUGAGACAUCCCCAGAAAGCGUUGCCAGCUGUGAUUACAUCUAAUGUGAGAGCAGGAACUAAUUUAAGAGGUGAGAGCUGAAUAAUGAGACUGCAUCCUGGGUAGCGGCCAAGACUGGCAGCUCUGGCCGCGCGCUGAAGGGGACCGUGAGGGGCACCCUUAUAGAACCAGCCCCUGGCGCCCUGGGGGCUUCUCAGUGCCCUGGUGCUGCGUUUUCCAUCACUCCAAGGUAUUUACUGGGUACCUCCUGAAUGUUGGGUUGCAAUCAAGAGCAAGAGAUGGGGGCAGUGAAAGAACCUGUUUUCAGGAGCUCACAAGCAGCGUUACAAUUACCCAGAGGGAGGUGGUGGCCAGCCUCCUCCUCAGCACUUCAUGCUGGCGCUCGGGUGGGCAUUGCCCAAGCCUGAACUGCCAUCUAUAUGCCAGUGGUUACCCAUCUCGUAUUUUCAGUCUUAGCCUCUCUGGUUCAGACUUGUCAUUCUAAGGGCCCUGUUUCACUGACUCGCAGUCUCCUCCCUCCCUGCCUUGCAAACCCAGCCCCUUCCUUUUUCCCUGUCGCACUGACAACAGCUGCACCCAUGCAGAGGUGAAAACUCUAAAGAACUCCAUGUCUAACCUAACUCCCUCUCUGUGUCCUGUUGCUUGAGCCAUUCUCAUUAGGCUGCCAGAGUUCAUCUCCUAAUUUUUCAUCCAGGAAUUGGUGAAAUAUCACCUCCUGGCUCUCCCAUACUGUUUAUUCUUUCAUUUGAUGAUAUCUGUUAAGUGCCCUGAGUAACUUCCACUUCCCUCCCAUAUAAGUGAGAUUUCACAUUGAUUACUCCUUUGGCUUUCCCUGUCCCUUGUCCACAUAGUAUGUGUUCAAAAUAAUGAAUGUUAAUAGACACGUGAUUUUCUGAACUGUGAGGAUUAAAUGAAAUCCUGUAUAUAGGAAGGAAAAUCCAUUAGAAACCUUAAAAGCAGUCAUGUUCGUUUUUGCUAUUGUCACAUCGUUAGAGUCCGAAUUCUUUUAGCUAGCUGCAAGUGACAAAACCAACUUAAACUGGCUUAAGGACUUUAUUUGGUUGAUGCAAAAAGCCUCAAGUUAGGUCCUGCCAUUUAAGGUAGGGCUGUAUCUCUGGAUCUAUCAAUCAAGGUUACCAGGGUAAGUUUCACAGUUGUGGCUCCAUUUUCAGACAAGUUGUUUUGAUAUGAUAGCCUCGUAGAACGUACUACCAGCUUAGUCCUAGCAAGAAAGAAGAAUACAUAUUCUUCAAUAUUUGCAGCUGAAGUCCCAGGUCUGUUCUUCCGAGGGCGGUUUAAGUCGCUUGCUCUUCUCUAAACAUGGAGAAGAGACUAUUUAGAUGAUCGAGGUUGGAUUCAGGUGCAUCCCCUGGAAUGGGGUUUGGCAUUAGCUUCACGUGGCCUAGAACAAAGGGGUUCUCCAAAGGAAAAUUAGGGCAGGGAUGCCGAGCAAGCGGAACCAGCAGAUGUCUCCUUUAGUCCUUCCCAAAGGGAGAGCUGCAAUGCAUUGCAGACUAUCAGAAUGGUGAUAAAAACAGAUACAGUAGUCAAGACAAUAGAUGUGUGACAAUAGAUGUUUUUUUUCGGUCUUCAAGACCACAGCUAAGCAUCACUAUGAUGUUAUUUGAGGUUUAGCUUUGAAGUGGAAAUGUACCUCAAACAGUAGAGCCAGAUAAAUAUAAAUAAAUAAUUGUAACAGUCUAUUCCAAAAGAUUUCUUUGGUAAUAUUCUGUUGGAAUUGAUUUCUAUCUCUUCAUUUGUUAGGUUCCUGAUAAGGUGGAAAUUUCAUUUCUUUGUGGAAAGGUACCUAAAAUUUCUCAUUAUUUACCAAUUAAUGAAAACAAAUGAAAAUUUGAGAAAGAGAUUCUGAAGAAUAAAAGGAUCAAGUUGGGUCAUUUCUAAAAUGUGAGACUAUAAGGUUUAACUUGCUAAGGCUUUUGAGGGGUUGAAUUAUUGGUAAAUAAUUAUAGAACCACUUCUCUGAGGCUUUUAAAGUGAUGUGUUACAGAGAUUUAGGAAACUGUAAGAUUGCAGAUAAAGAAUUUAUACUGUUACUGUGUUUAUACUUUACCUGCUGCUUUAAAUGUGGCCUCCUAUUUUAAAGUCAAAGGUUUAUUUUCUCUCACUGCGUUCUAAAUUUCCUACCACAGUGCAAUUUGAGAAAUGAAUAUAACAGCAAUCUUGCUAGAUGCCAUAUUCGUGGCAACCCUGUCCACCCCACACUCUCCACACCACACCCUGGAAAAAACCAACCCUCUAUUGUUGGAACGAGAGAACAUUUUUAGGAAAGGGAACCAUUUUCUCACAGGAUAUAGAAUGAAUUUAUCCUUUUAUUAAUUCAAAAUGGAUUUUCUAAUGUUUAUACAUAUCAAACAGGAUUUCAUCUCUUUCAGUCUUGUUUCAAAAGCCCAGACAGUACCAUUCCCGGGUAUUUAGUCCAUUUGCUCAUAAAGCAGAAGAGAAAGGCUACGUUGUUAUGAAGAGUGUUAGAUUUAGGAUUUCAAGAUUCAAGAUUAUUUCAAAUUAAUGCCUAAACUAGACUAUAAAGUGUAGGAAUGAUUCCAGGCUGUCCGAAGAUUAAAGAGUAUUUUAACUUUCACCAAAACCUUUAUCUUCUGGAUGUAUUUUUUUUUUUUUUUGCCUGUUCAAAUUCUUUUUAAAUACAACAUUUUUGCUGUUUACAUUUUUAAAAGUUACAGUUCAAAAUAGUUUGUAAUUGGACACUUUAAUAAGAUGCAGGAAAACACAGUUUUACUUUUUAAUGAAGGACAGGUCUGUUGAUAACAUUUUUAUUCUUAAAUUUUUUUAUCUUAUAGAAAUGAAACAAUAUAUUUAAAGUGUCUUCAGCUCUUCUGUUAUUACCAAAUUAUGCAUUUUCUUAGCCCAUGUUCAGGAGAGACUAUAUAUAUUCUAAAUUAAGAGCUACUGGCACCAUUUUUAAAACAAGGCCUUGAAUCUGCUGUGGCAUGUGCUGGUAGAAAUUUUGUAUGAAGCUAUUAUUGAAGUAGAUGAUAUUAAGGUCAAAGAAAAAAAACAGAAAAUAAUGUAACCCUACAGAGCUGUUCCUGAGAGAAAACCACAUAGGUAACAUCAAACACUAGCUGGAAUCUUUCCAACAAGUAAUUAUCUGUGUGCUGUUUGCAGUGGUUGAUUAUGGGGACAAACCAAGGUUUAGCCAAUUCAGCAAACAUCUAUGGAGUACCUGCAUGUACCCGACGCCGUUUUAGGACCUGGGCCUACAGUAAAGAUGACCCACACGAUGCCUGGCCUGCAGGGCUUGGUGUUGAGCGAUAAGAAGAGACGCAUACCUGACAAGCCUAUUUAAGACUCUUCUGGUUCUACAAAGAAGGCUUCUUGAAAAUGGUACCCAGCUUGCAGGAGUGCCAGAGUUAGAGUCCCAAGGUGUUCUUCAUGACCACAUGCUUGAUCCAGGCCUAUCAGGUGAGUUGGCUCUUUCUGGUGGUUUUUCUUCUCUUGCUGUACAAUAUUUCAGACAAUAAUGUCUGUCAUUUAUUUUUAUAGAUAUAGUCCACUGAAAGUCCUCAUUCUCAAAUUUAAAACAAAGACUCUUCGUGUACCUCAAUAGCAGUGUACACACAGUUGACACAGCUUCACAAACAUACCAUACAUUUCUCUUUUUUUCUAUAUAUAUUCAACAAAUGUAUUUUGACUACCCACCAUGUGACAGAUAUUUUUUGUUGGUGGAACCAGGUAUCAUCAGCAAACAACUGACCAAGCUUCUUGCCUUCUGUGGAAGGCGUCUGAGGAAGAGACCGGGUUUCAUAGCAACAUGUGAUUCUCAUUAUAAACUUUAUCACUGGAAUACUAAAGCCAGAUCAUCCCCAUCUCCUUGGUCAGGGUACCCACCUAAUCCAGGCUGCUACACAAUUGUGAAAGCCUUUGUUUGUUCUGCUGAAGCAUCCUUAAAAAGAUAACUCACAACUCAAUAUUUGGCUUUUCUUAAAUAUGAUUUUUAAUUUUUAAAAUUUCUAUCUAGAGAUUUAAUUGGAAAAUUAAAUCUUUAGGGAUUUUGAAUUUGGCUGCCUGUAAAUUAAAGGUGAAGGUAAUCAUUGUGUUGCAUUAGUACAUUUUGUCAACUGAGAGUGGUUUCCUUUUUCUUAGUGUAGGAAAAGUUUAUUUUUCCAAUGUAGAGUAAUAAAGGAGGUAAAGAAAAACAAAAUCAAUGAUUUACAUGGAUGAGAAAAGAAACUUUUCCUCAAGGAUUAAGGAAAAUUCAUACCUUUUAUGUCUUGAAAAGUUUUUAAUUUUAAUGUGCCCUUUAAAUAUUUUUAAAAAUAUGUCCUAUUUUAAAAUGUACUCUCUGAGAGAAGGAAUUGAUACCUGCAUUUAAAAUCAAAAAUAGCAUGCAUAGAGACUGUUUUUCUAGUUGGUUGAAGCUUUUUCCCUCCCUCCUUUACAUCAGUGAACCAGCAUCUUGCCGGUCAGACCCUACAGCACACUUGGGCUCAUGAAGUGUCUGACACAUCCUCUUUGGAGGAUCUACCAUGCCCCUGCUCCCAUGACUACAUGAAUUCUUCUGUAUGUCUUUUCUCACAGCUGAGUACUCUCUUCCUGACCCCCGUGUGGAGUGGGGAAAGGAGGCUCUGACAUUGUGCUUGUGCGAACAUAACUGAAAGCUUUCCGAGUCUCCUGCAUCUUCAUAGAUGAUUUUUUAUUUUAUGCUGGGACAGUAGUUUUUUAAAUAGAAUAUUUUCCCAUGGAAAUCACCCACAAUGCUGAGAGUACACCUUGCAAAAGGUAAGUCUAGAAUAUGGGGUGCCUCCUCAGCAUGGCUCAGAAGCUGAAGUUAGGACUCUCUGGAAUACCAAAAACAAAUUUAUAGCAGUUCAUUAGUGUAAUAAAUUAUAAAAACUGUGUGGCGCCAUUACCCAUAGAUGAAACAAAGAGCCACCACGCAAGCACAGACCCAAAGCCCUGAAGAGGAAACCCUUGAUGGGGCUCUCAUUUAUUUUGUGGAAACCCACUUGCCUGUUUUGAACCAGUUUUCUUUAAAGCAUAUGUCUCACUGUGCAAAGAAAAUGGUGUAUAUAUCCUAGUCACUUGGCAAAAAUUCUGUCAUUCCUUCAGGGAGAUCCAUUUUCGGCCUGAAGCAUGGAGCUGGUAAUAGAUGGGAUUUAAACUUCCAAAAGAAAGACCCUACUGCAAAUUUAGAGAGUUAUUUUUUUCUUUUGUUCCCCAUAAUAUUGUUGCUAGAUGGGACUACCUUUUUUGCCUAGAGGUUAAAUAUAGAGGCCUAAAUCAGUUUACUCCCACUCAUUCUAAAUGAGAACAUGUUUGUUUCUGUUCAAUGAGAUGAGAAUAUUUGGGGUGCUUCAUGAUAUCUCCAUCACUCACUGCAUUUUUCCAUUUGAUGUAUAUUUCCCUAAGUAUUUAAUUUUCAAAUGCCCUUUAAAAAUCCAUUUGAUAUUAAAUGUAAAAAAAAGCAAGAUGCAAAAUUAUUAUAGGCUGCAUUUACAGAAAUUAUAAAAUGUAUAAACUAUGGAGGGAAAUUUGUAGAGUAUAUGUAAACACAUUGCUUUAUUAUUUUCCUUGGUUAUGAGUAUAGUUUUUGAAACCUGCUUUGUAGUUUUGGUGUUUUCUCACCAUUGGCACCGUCGAGGCAUUUUUCCCUCUUUUUCAGCCUUGCAAAUCACAUGUGAGGAAGCUCGUAGAGUGCCUCUAAGACAGGCUGUUCCUUUGCUUUCACCAAUACAUCAUUCAUCAUUAGAACUAGAAAACUUUUCUUCCCAGUGCAAGUACAUUCCUUUCAAAAUCACUUCUCUUUUUUGUGAAUGAUGUCUAGUGUCUAAGAAAUUAGGUAACCUUUAUUAUGUACGUUGCUCUAAUCAAAGCAUCAUUUUGUGAGGUGAACUCAAGGUUACAUGUUUAAGAAAAGCAUCGGGUUAAUUCCAUUAGAAAAACUGUCUUAUUGAUAAACCUUUAACCAUUGGAAAGACACCAUUAGGAGGCCACACAGGUGUGUAUAGCUGGAUAGAAUUUGACAACUGACAAAAAACAAUAGCCUACUUUUGCAGAGUGCGGUCUUUUUAAGAACCAACAUAUCUUUCACCAACAAAUAUGUAUUUACCUCAACAUGAGACUUUCAUGUGGUUAUUAAUAUCACAUUUUUGAAUGUCCAAACUUUGGGGUGUAAUCCAGCAGAGGUAAACUUAUUUGCCUAAGGUCUUUCAACUGACAGAGGUAGAAUUAUUUUCUAUCCCCUGGCUCUAAAAACCUGUCCGGAUUCUCCUGCAACCCCAUCCUUCAAAAAGACACUUCCACUGAUUCCAAUGAUGGUGAUGUCAUGCUUUAGCAAGUAGUUAGCUGUGACUUAACUUUAAAUAUGGAAUCUUUAUUUUACUAUUAAGCAAUGAGGUUUAGUUUGAAAAUUCUUAAAGAUGAUAAAUGCCUCUCCUUUUUUUCUUCUUCUCUUUUGUCCUGAACGAUGUUCCAUAUGUAUUACUGCCAGAAACAGAUUCUUGACGUUCCCGUUAAGCUUCUCCACACCUUGUAAUCAUUUCUGCAGCUGUUAGCAUUGCCAACAAUUAUAUUUCCACUUUUAAAAAAUUGUUACAAAGAUGCAGAGAGAAAAGAGGAACGCCAAGGAAUAAGCCACAAGCAAUUACGGGAUAUUUUUGUGAUGUGACGUUUUGGGAACUGAGGGGUAAUGCGUCACUGAUACUGCACUACCUUUUCAUAUCUAGGUUUUAAUCUUUUGUAUGAAGAUAAAAUUCACGUGCCUUAAACCUGACCAUGACGUAGUAAUAGGCAUUUAUUUUUUUAAUUUUCAUACCAUCCACGUUUUAACUAUGAGAAGAGUGCAUAUGUUGUAUGAUGGUGCCAAGAAGUAGAUGUGUACAAUUUACUAAUACAUCCUUUGGAAAAUGUGUGUUAAUAACAUGCUAAGGAGUAAACUGACGGUGUGCAAAGGGAGCCCAUGAGUUUGAAUAAAUGGAUUGUACACCUUGCUCUUCCCAAUUGGAGAUUUAACAGGAUUUGAUGACCUAAUGAGUUUAUUUCUGAAUGAUUUAUAUUUCUUUGUCAGUUCAGUGAGUUAGUAUUUUAAAUAUUUUUAAAUCCCAUUUUAUUGAGAUAUGGUAUUACUGUUUCUUUCCCAUCACCUAACAGAAAGUUAAGCUACUCCUCUCCCACCCAACUUUUGUUCCUACCAAUAUUUUUUUUACAGUUAGAAGCUGAUUGGCUUGACAUGUCUUAGGAUAUCACCCAAGGACAGCUUCAUUUUAUAAAUACCAACCUCAUUUUCCUGAAUGUUUUCAAAAAGAUGGAAUUUAUCCUCAUAUGGUAUAUUCAGAUUUGUAAUUUUAGAAAGGGUCAUGUGAACAUGGUAUUACACAGCUAUGGAAGUCUGUCAGAGAUCUUGUUUUGGGAUAGAAGGACUCAGACAUCCAAACUUUUAAACUAAUAAAAUUAUUAAAUUUUAAGACUUUGUAACAAUGUUAAUUUGAGAUGUAUAAUAUUUUGCUUAAGGUAUGCUUUGCUUUGCAAAAUGUGUCUGCUUCAUUUUCACAUUAUGUUGGAAGCUUAACAUGAAAGAACAUGGUUGAGAGGAGACCACAGGUAAGCAUACUGUAACAAAAGUUAGUGCCAUCAUGUUUGUGUCUUUGCCUGUGGUUUUUUAAGUGUAUAAUGCUUAAUGUUGAUUUGGCCAUCAAAUUCAGUUUUCUUUUGUUAAAAAAAUUUCUGUAAAUUAGAAAUGUACUGAAUCCUUUAUUUAGCAGACCAAAGAUGGGUAACGAUGGCUGAUCAGGUUUAAACCACAGUAAUUUGAAAAUGAAAAUACCUAAAUAAUGUCCUUUCUCUUCCACUCAAUGUUUCUUUACCAAAUAAAGUCCAGUCUGCUCUGAAUUUGUUGCCAAUAGGAGCAAUUUUAUAGUGAAUCAUGGUUUAAUAUACCUUGAAAAUGGCACAUCUGUUCUGUGAUAGCAUACUGGUUUUAGCCUCUUUGUAAAAUACGAAGAAGAGUUUGUCAACCAGAAUAAUCUGGAACCUGGCAAUUGAAAUACCAUUCAAAGCAAAUGUUUUAUCUAGUAACUAGAACUAACUGUUAGGCCUCAUGACAGUUCAACGUUUACUAAACAACUUUAGUAACAGGGUAAGCCCUCUGUAUCCAGAGCAGAGACUAGAACACCACAUUUACCUAUACGAAUUCUGCCUUUAGCUAUCUGAAAGGGCCCAGAACUAUUGCGGCAAGCAAAGAGUCUUUGUAAUAUCCUAAAAUCCAUAUAGUACUCUGUAUUUUAUACAUUUUAAUAGCUAGUCUAACAAAUAACAAGUACCGUGCUUCAUUCUCUGCAUGCAUUAUUACAAUUAAUCAUUGAGAUAAUCUUACAAAGUAAGUACUUUUGUCUUGGCCUACAGGUAAGAAAACAAAAGUUAAAUAGAUCGCCCAGGGCCUUGCUGGAACGUGCUGAGCAGGGAUUUCAGCCUGUUCAGUCAGACCCUGGAAGCUGUGUUCUUAACCAUUAGCAGCGCAUUGUCCCAGACAUGCCCUACGUGAUGAGCCUCAUAACCAGUUUUAUGAUGGAUAGUAUUAUCCCCAUUUCACAGAUGGCAAAACUGAAGUCCAGAGACUUUAAGUGACCUACCCAAAAUUAUAGUCAUGAGCAGUGGCACUGGGAUGUAGGGUCUUGGCACUCUACCUCUCGUGGUCCUCUUUCUUGUUUGGAAUAGGUCUCCACUACCACUACUCGGUUCCCUGCUGAUGCUGGAAAGGAUGUAUUUUAUGCAUUUCUGUUUCUAGCUUGGAACAAAACACUCUGUGGGUCUCUGCUUGAUCAGUGACCCCUCCAAACUGCACCCCACUACAGCAGGAUGGCAUAAGAUGCUUCGAUACACAGCAUCUUUUUGUUCCCACCUCACCCCGGAGUUGUAAUAGGUAGAGCAGGCCAAGUGUAAAAGAGAUGAUUUGUCUCGGUCACCACUAGUUUCCCUUUUCUCGGCCUUGUAUUUAACGGGAAUAUUCUUUAGUUCCCCUUAUGUUCUAAAGCACCUCCCCACCCCAAAAAUAGCAAAAGAGCUGUGAGUCAUUUUCACUUUAGUGUGAAUGUGCCUUCCUGAUUUCGCCAAGGCUGUUUGGCCUAAUCAUUUUAAUGUAAUUCAGAUUAGAAUUUAAUAGCAGAAUGAGAGUCUCUGGAUAUCUUGGCUUCUUCCCUGAGAAUAACAAACUGGGAAUUGUUGGUCUAGACAUCAAGAGAACCAGAGACCUAUUGCUCAGAGAUGUUUGGGCUGUACAAUUGCUGUAGAUUUGGCAUUUGGAGCUGCCUUUUUUGAGCAAUGGCCUUCUCAGCCCAGGCUCUCUCGCUCUUUCCCUGUCUCCACUUGAACCAGGUGGACUCUUGCCCUCCACUCCUUCCGACUUGACGGUGAUACAGAGAACAUUCUCCAUCCUUCCGGUGAUUGCAUUCCUUCAUCUCUGUGGGGCCCCAGUGCAGAUGGAGCGGCUCUUGGGAGCAGCCUGGGCUUAUAGUGCAGCUCUCUGCUACCUGCAGCAGGCUGGUAUUCAGGGAGCUUGGAUGCACCACUGAUGGUUAUUGUAGAAAGAACUCCCUGACCUGGCCCACCCUGGCUCUUCUCUUGACUCCUGGAUCACAUGGUGUGCAUCUUGUAUGUAUCCUACCCCAGACCGGGAAUCAGCCAUUUCUCUUAGGAUUCCUGGUUUCUUCAAUGGGAACUGUUAUUUAGAGACCACAUUCUGAGCGCUGGUCCGUCAGGAUAUAACUUCAACUCCAAAACCUGACCGCUUCUCAGUGGCCCAGCCACCAUCAUGGCCCAGGGACAUCACCUGCUGCUAAGAUUAUUACAGUGGCCUCCUCACCGUUGUCUCUGUCUCCCCCGCUCUGGGCCCUGUGGUUUGUUCUCAGUACAGGAGCCAUCAGGCCCAGAAGAGCAAGGAUCUUCUCACCAUGACCAGACCAUUGCUUCUUCCUCUGCCAUGUGUUGAUGGCCUUGGAAGUAAGAGAUGAUGAGGGCUGUAUGGUACUUCCUUCCAUCAGGUACUUGCGAAGCACUUCCGGCUUGGACACCCACCAGCAGCAUAUGAACACGCUCAUUUCCCCACACUGAGAGAAACAUCUGAUACCAAACAACUUAAAAAUUUUGUCCAUCUGAAAAAGGAUUUUUGCAACUAAAGUACCAAAGAAGUGAAGAUGCUAAGGAAUUCUUUGGCUUUACAAGAUGAAUGCCAUAUAAAAUGAGGCCGUCUGACAACCAGAUUCCAUAUGGCAGUCAGAAAGUUCCAGCACAGUACCUCAGGCUUCAUCUAGGGAACACGUUUAAAGGUUUGGAAUUCCACUGACUCAGAGCCUGAUUUGUCUUGGAGGUAGACCUGUCAAGGUCUCAUCGGAGGAGCUGCUGGGGAAGUGGACCAGGAUCACAGCUGCCCAUUCUCUCACCCCACCUACCUUCUGCAGAGUGGCCCAUUUGUGCUUCAGGAGGAAGAGUACAGGAGCAGUGGUCAGCAUGCUGUGAACAUUACUUUCUGAGUGUGGGUGUGUCUCAAUAAAUGCUCCUAUCCACUUCAUUCCCUCUUAAUAGACCCAUCAAACAAGCGCUCAUUGUUUUCCAGUGCCGACCUAGGUAAACCAGUCAUCAUGUGCCCCAAUGUGUCAAAGAAAAUGCCUGCUUCCCAGAAAUUUUCCACUAAUGGGGAAAGAAGAUUUGUUCACACAGCCUAUUAUUGUAAACCAGCUCAUUCUUUGGCAAUCUGAAACCAAGACUGCACGUUUAGCCAGGCAGGUCUCUUCAAAGCAUGUCCUUGACCAUAUUGUCCAUUGCAUCAUGUCUUCUUUCUUGUUUUGUUUUAUCAUUUUUGUGAUGCUUUAAUGCCCAGUGCACAAACUGAAGCUAUGUGGCAUCUGUAUCACGGUGUAUUAGGGCUCCAAAAAAACAUGCAAUCCCUGAGCAGACAAUAAAUUUGAUUUUGCACAA
Molecule: non-coding RNA, 12379 nt
Organism: Callithrix jacchus (white-tufted-ear marmoset)
Lineage: Eukaryota; Metazoa; Chordata; Mammalia; Primates; Cebidae
Source: RefSeq, a predicted model, not a curated record